AUAAUACAAUUAAAAGAAAAAUAAAGAAAAAGAAGAAAGGAAGAAGAAUCGAAGAAAACAAAAGUGAACUGUGCUCUCUCCUUUAGCUCUCUUCCUGCGACGCUUAGCCAAGAAUGGCAACUUCAUCGUCCGUUCACCAAACGAGAUGUCGUUACCACCAAAAUAAAGCUUGGACUUCCAGGAGCAAAACCCAACGAGUCUCAGCAAGUUUCGUCGACUGUAGCCACUAGAAUCGAGUUUGGAAACUCACGGCAACCACAAGAAUAGCGUUGGAGCAUCUUGGCAAUUUCGUCUUAAAUAUGCGUAUACGUAUGGUAUACAUGGAGGUGAUCGAGGAGUUGGACUUGAGGCUGUAGACGGUUAAUUAUUUUGUGUACCGCUAUCGAGGUGAGUUGGAUGUAGGUGAUGGCGGUCAGCAGCGGGAUGCGUGAGCUGGUGUGUAGCAUUG
Long non-coding RNA from Tripterygium wilfordii, 448 nucleotides. RefSeq lists it as uncharacterized. The record is from RefSeq and is a predicted model, not a curated record. The transcript has 4 exons. NCBI's taxonomy places the organism in Eukaryota, Viridiplantae, Streptophyta, Magnoliopsida, Celastrales, Celastraceae.